CGUGGGAACGUGCCUUUAGGUUCGGAAUAACUCAGGGAAACUUGUGCUAAUACCGGAUGUGCCCUUCGGGGGAAAGAUUUAUCGCCUUUAGAGCGGCCCGCGUCUGAUUAGCUAGUUGGUGAGGUAAUGGCUCACCAAGGCUACGAUCAGUAGCUGGUCUGAGAGGAUGACCAGCCACAUUGGGACUGAGACACGGCCCAAACUCCUACGGGAGGCAGCAGUGGGGAAUCUUGCGCAAUGGGCGAAAGCCUGACGCAGCCAUGCCGCGUGAAUGAUGAAGGUCUUAGGAUUGUAAAAUUCUUUCACCGGGGACGAUAAUGACGGUACCCGGAGAAGAAGCCCCGGCUAACUUCGUGCCAGCAGCCGCGGUAAUACGAAGGGGGCUAGCGUUGCUCGGAAUUACUGGGCGUAAAGGGAGCGUAGGCGGACAUUUAAGUCAGGGGUGAAAUCCCGGGGCUCAACCUCGGAACUGCCCUUGAUACUGGAUGUCUUGAGUGUGAGAGAGGUAUGUGGAACUCCGAGUGUAGAGGUGAAAUUCGUAGAUAUUCGGAAGAACACCAGUGGCGAAGGCGACAUACUGGCUCAUUACUGACGCUGA
This 598-nucleotide ribosomal RNA is filed under the name proteobacterium enrichment culture clone E213. RNAcentral's name for it is "bacterial SSU rRNA". It matches the Rfam family "Bacterial small subunit ribosomal RNA", at positions 116 to 749 of the family's 1533-position model. Lineage: Bacteria; Pseudomonadati; Pseudomonadota. The record is from RNAcentral.